UCCACUUGGAGGACUGCCGUGGUUGGGCACUGCACCGCCUCCUUGGGAAGUCUAGUCCACAUUUGGGUCACCCUUACCAUAGAGAAGUCCUUCCUUACAUCCAAUCUGAAACCAUCCUCUAAUAGUUGAUGGCCAUUGCUCCUUGUC
This is a long non-coding RNA of Gavialis gangeticus (Gharial), 147 nucleotides long. RefSeq lists it as uncharacterized. The record is from RefSeq and is a predicted model, not a curated record. NCBI's taxonomy places the organism in Eukaryota, Metazoa, Chordata, Crocodylia, Gavialidae. The transcript has 3 exons.